RNAcentral lists this ribosomal RNA (2773 nucleotides) under bioreactor metagenome. RNAcentral describes it as "bacterial LSU rRNA". It matches the Rfam family "Bacterial large subunit ribosomal RNA". RNAcentral also lists the same sequence under 1 other name. The record is from RNAcentral.
AGCGUACACGGUGGAUGCCCUGGCAGUCAGAGGCGAUGAAGGACGUGCUAAUCUGCGAUAAGCGUCGGUAAGGUGAUAUGAACCGUUAUAACCGGCGAUUUCCGAAUGGGGAAACCCAGUGUGUUUCGACACACUAUCAUUAACUGAAUCCAUAGGUUAAUGAGGCGAACCGGGGGAACUGAAACAUCUAAGUACCCCGAGGAAAAGAAAUCAACCGAGAUUCCCCCAGUAGCGGCGAGCGAACGGGGAGCAGCCCAGAGCCUGAAUCAGUGUGUGUGUUAGUGGAAGCGUCUGGAAAGGCGCGCGAUACAGGGUGACAGCCCCGUACACAAAAAUGCACAUGCUGUGAGCUCGAUGAGUAGGGCGGGACACGUGGUAUCCUGUCUGAAUAUGGGGGGACCAUCCUCCAAGGCUAAAUACUCCUGACUGACCGAUAGUGAACCAGUACCGUGAGGGAAAGGCGAAAAGAACCCCGGCGAGGGGAGUGAAAAAGAACCUGAAACCGUGUACGUACAAGCAGUGGGAGCACGCUUAGGCGUGUGACUGCGUACCUUUUGUAUAAUGGGUCAGCGACUUAUAUUCUGUAGCAAGGUUAACCGAAUAGGGGAGCCGAAGGGAAACCGAGUCUUAACUGGGCGUUAAGUUGCAGGGUAUAGACCCGAAACCCGGUGAUCUAGCCAUGGGCAGGUUGAAGGUUGGGUAACACUAACUGGAGGACCGAACCGACUAAUGUUGAAAAAUUAGCGGAUGACUUGUGGCUGGGGGUGAAAGGCCAAUCAAACCGGGAGAUAGCUGGUUCUCCCCGAAAGCUAUUUAGGUAGCGCCUCGUGAAUUCAUCUCCGGGGGUAGAGCACUGUUUCGGCAAGGGGGUCAUCCCGACUUACCAACCCGAUGCAAACUGCGAAUACCGGAGAAUGUUAUCACGGGAGACACACGGCGGGUGCUAACGUCCGUCGUGAAGAGGGAAACAACCCAGACCGCCAGCUAAGGUCCCAAAGUCAUGGUUAAGUGGGAAACGAUGUGGGAAGGCCCAGACAGCCAGGAUGUUGGCUUAGAAGCAGCCAUCAUUUAAAGAAAGCGUAAUAGCUCACUGGUCGAGUCGGCCUGCGCGGAAGAUGUAACGGGGCUAAACCAUGCACCGAAGCUGCGGCAGCGACGCUGAUGCGUUGUUGGGUAGGGGAGCGUUCUGUAAGCCUGUGAAGGUGUGCUGUGAGGCAUGCUGGAGGUAUCAGAAGUGCGAAUGCUGACAUAAGUAACGAUAAAGCGGGUGAAAAGCCCGCUCGCCGGAAGACCAAGGGUUCCUGUCCAACGUUAAUCGGGGCAGGGUGAGUCGACCCCUAAGGCGAGGCCGAAAGGCGUAGUCGAUGGGAAACAGGUUAAUAUUCCUGUACUUGGUGUUACUGCGAAGGGGGGACGGAGAAGGCUAUGUUGGCCGGGCGACGGUUGUCCCGGUUUAAGCGUGUAGGCUGGUUUUCCAGGCAAAUCCGGAAAAUCAAGGCUGAGGCGUGAUGACGAGGCACUACGGUGCUGAAGCAACAAAUGCCCUGCUUCCAGGAAAAGCCUCUAAGCAUCAGGUAACAUCAAAUCGUACCCCAAACCGACACAGGUGGUCAGGUAGAGAAUACCAAGGCGCUUGAGAGAACUCGGGUGAAGGAACUAGGCAAAAUGGUGCCGUAACUUCGGGAGAAGGCACGCUGAUAUGUAGGUGAAGUCCCUCGCGGAUGGAGCUGAAAUCAGUCGAAGAUACCAGCUGGCUGCAACUGUUUAUUAAAAACACAGCACUGUGCAAACACGAAAGUGGACGUAUACGGUGUGACGCCUGCCCGGUGCCGGAAGGUUAAUUGAUGGGGUCAGCGCAAGCGAAGCUCUUGAUCGAAGCCCCGGUAAACGGCGGCCGUAACUAUAACGGUCCUAAGGUAGCGAAAUUCCUUGUCGGGUAAGUUCCGACCUGCACGAAUGGCGUAAUGAUGGCCAGGCUGUCUCCACCCGAGACUCAGUGAAAUUGAACUCGCUGUGAAGAUGCAGUGUACCCGCGGCAAGACGGAAAGACCCCGUGAACCUUUACUAUAGCUUGACACUGAACAUUGAGCCUUGAUGUGUAGGAUAGGUGGGAGGCUUGGAAGUGUGGACGCCAGUCUGCAUGGAGCCGACCUUGAAAUACCACCCUUUAAUGUUUGAUGUUCUAACGUUGACCCGUAAUCCGGGUUGCGGACAGUGUCUGGUGGGUAGUUUGACUGGGGCGGUCUCCUCCUAAAGAGUAACGGAGGAGCACGAAGGUUGGCUAAUCCUGGUCGGACAUCAGGAGGUUAGUGCAAUGGCAUAAGCCAGCUUGACUGCGAGCGUGACGGCGCGAGCAGGUGCGAAAGCAGGUCAUAGUGAUCCGGUGGUUCUGAAUGGAAGGGCCAUCGCUCAACGGAUAAAAGGUACUCCGGGGAUAACAGGCUGAUACCGCCCAAGAGUUCAUAUCGACGGCGGUGUUUGGCACCUCGAUGUCGGCUCAUCACAUCCUGGGGCUGAAGUAGGUCCCAAGGGUAUGGCUGUUCGCCAUUUAAAGUGGUACGCGAGCUGGGUUUAGAACGUCGUGAGACAGUUCGGUCCCUAUCUGCCGUGGGCGCUGGAGAACUGAGGGGGGCUGCUCCUAGUACGAGAGGACCGGAGUGGACGCAUCACUGGUGUUCGGGUUGUCAUGCCAAUGGCACUGCCCGGUAGCUAAAUGCGGAAGAGAUAAGUGCUGAAAGCAUCUAAGCACGAAACUUGCCCCGAGAUGAGUUCU